CAAUAUUAAGUACAUAUGUAGCCAACUAACCACCACUCUUUGUGGCCAACUAACCACCACUCAUUGUAAAUAAAAAACUUGAUCACUACAUAAAAUAUCUACUAACUAGGAGUUUCUAGAUAAAUCUUAAUUUCCUAACACUCCUCCUUAAGAUUUUUCAUUGAAACUCCCUGCAACGACCUUUGAAACUCAAACUUAUUGGUGGGAAGAGCCUUGAUUAGAAUAUCGGCUUGUUGUUCUUCACUUUUGCAAUGCACCAGCUCAACUUCCCCAUUCUUCUCGGCAUCUCGCAAAGCAUGAAAUCUGAUGUUGAUAUGCUUCGUCCUUCCAUGUUGCACUGGAUUUUCAGCCAUAGCAAUGGCUGAUUUAUUAUCCACAUAGAUCACUGUUGGUUCUUCUGGCAAAAGGUCCACUUCAAACAAGAUUUUCCUCAACCUAAUUCCUUGAUUUGUAGUAGAUACAACAGCCACAUACUCGGCUUCAGCUGAAGAUUAAGCUAUGAUAUCUUGCUUCUUUGUGCUCCAAGAAAAAAUGCCUGAACCAAAUGAAAAAGAGUAACCCGAUGUGCUUUUGUAAUCGUCCAAACAUCCACCCUAAUCACUAUCUGAAUAGCCAAUAAGAGCUCCAUUCUCUACACUUCUAUACCAAAUGCCAUAAUCAGUUGUCCCUCUAAUAUACCUCAACAUCCUUUUAGUAGCUCUAAAAUGCUUGGUACUGGGACAUUGCAUAUAUCGGGACAGUGGACUAGCAGCAAACAUCACAUCUGGUCUGGUAGCAGUCAGAUACAACAAGCUUCCAAUAAGGAUCCUAUAAAGUUUUGAAUCUGCCCGCUCUUCUCCAUCAUCCUUCAUUAACUUUUCAUUCACUACAAGUGGAGUUGCAACAGGUUUGCACUUAUCAAGCUUGAACCUUUUAAAGAGAUUCAGGGCAUGCCUCUUUUGGGAUAAGAAAAUUCCUUCAGAAGAUUGAGAAAUUUCCAUUCAUGGGAAGAACUUCAUCUCCCCUCGACCAGACAUUUCAAAAACUUUUAGCAUCGAAUUUUUAAUUUCUUGAACCAUAAGAGAAUCUUCACCUAUGAUCAUCAAAUCAUCAACAUAAACAGAUAUCACAAUUAACUUCCAUUAGCUUGCCUUUUGAAGUAUAAAGUAGGCUUAUUUAGGCUUCGGUUGAAGCCUUGAGACAGCAGAUGAGUAUCCAGCCUAUUGUACCAAGCUCUUGGAGCUUGUUUAAGGCCGUAGAGAGCCUUUUUAAGCUUAUACACCUUGCUUUAGGAAAGGUUCGUCUAUGCAAUUUACGAAAUUGACAUGACUCACAAAAAUCUCGGCACAUGUCAAUUUUGGGUACAUCAAGCACCAUACCCUUGGAGUGCAUAUACACCAAUGAAUUAAGGUUGUAAUGACCGAAU
RNAcentral lists this long non-coding RNA (1405 nucleotides) under Capsicum annuum. Its description in RNAcentral is "long non-coding RNA (CANN_LNC016886)". Lineage: Eukaryota; Viridiplantae; Streptophyta; Magnoliopsida; Solanales; Solanaceae. The record is from RNAcentral.